RNAcentral lists this ribosomal RNA (465 nucleotides) under uncultured bacterium. RNAcentral's name for it is "partial 16S ribosomal RNA". It matches the Rfam family "Bacterial small subunit ribosomal RNA", at positions 339 to 795 of the family's 1533-position model. The record is from RNAcentral.
CUACGGGUGGCACCAGUGAGGAAUUUUGCGCAAUGGGGGGAACCCUGACGCAGCAACGCCGCGUGAGUGAUGAAGGCUUUCGGGUCGUAAAGCUCUGUCAAGUGGGAAGAACCUAUGCAGUGUUAAUAUCACUGUAUACUGACGGUACCACUGAAGGAAGCACCGGCUAGCUCCGUGCCAGCAGCCGCGGUAAUACGGGGGGUGCAAGCGUUAUUCGGAAUCAUUGGGCGUAAAGGGCACGUAGGCGGCUUGGUAAGUCAGAUGUGAAAGCCCGGGGCUUAACCCCGGAAGUGCAUUUGAUACUGUCAGGCUUGAGUAUGGGAGAGGGAAGUGGAAUUCCUGGUGUAGAGGUGAAAUUCGUAGAUAUCAGGAGGAACACCGGUGGCGAAGGCGACUUCCUGGACCAAUACUGACGCUGAGGUGCGAAGGCGUGGGUAGCAAACAGGAUUAGAUACCCGCGUAGUC